CCUACGGGAGGCAGCAGUGAGGAAUAUUGGUCAAUGGACGCAAGUCUGAACCAGCCAUGCCGCGUGCAGGAAGACGGCCCUACGAGUCGUAAACUGCUUUUGUACGAGGGUAAACGCAGAUACGCGUAUCUGUCCGAAAGUAACGUACGAAUAAGGAUCGGCUAACUCCGUGCCAGCAGCCGCGGUAAUACGGAGGAUUCAAGCGUUAUCCGGAUUUAUUGGGUUUAAAGGGUGCGUAGGCGGUCGGAUAAGUUAGAGGUGAAAUCCCGAGGCUCAACUUCGGAAUUGCCUCUGAUACUGGUCGGCUAGAGAGUAGUUGCGGUAGGCGGAAUGUAUGGUGUAGCGGUGAAAUGCUUAGAGAUCAUACAGAACACCGAUUGCGAAGGCAGCUUACCAAGCUACGUCUGACGUUGAGGCACGAAAGCGUGGGGAGCAAACAGGAUUAGAUACCCUUGUAGUC
Molecule: ribosomal RNA, 460 nt
Filed under: uncultured bacterium
Lineage: Bacteria
Description: partial 16S ribosomal RNA
Rfam family: Bacterial small subunit ribosomal RNA
Source: RNAcentral